CAUGGCAUGGCAUGGCAUGGCAUGGCAUGGCAUGGCAUGGCAUGGCAUGGCAUGGCAUGAGGGAGAGGAUCCUGCCCCUCUGCCCUACCCUGGAGAGGCACAGCUGGGACUGCUGUGUCCAGCUUUGGGAUCCUCAGCAUAGAGACAGGGAACCACGGGAGGGGUCCAGCAGGUGAAGAUGAGGAUGGUGUGGGAGCAUGUCUGCCAUGUGAGGAAAGACAGCUGGAGCUGAGCCUGUUUAGUCUGGAGAACACUGAGGAUCUCAUUAAUGCAUACAAAUAUCUUCAAGGCGGGUGCCUGUGGGGAUGAUGGUUCCAGACUGCUUUCGGUGGUGCCCAGUGACAGGAUGAGGAGCAGUGGCCAUAAACUAAAACACAAGAAGUUCCACCGCAAUAUUAAGAAGAAUUUCUUCAGAUUGAGGGGUGGCACAGCUCUGGAAUUGCUGCCUGUGGAAGGCGUGGAGUGUCCCCCUCUGGAGACAUUGAAACCCACCCGGACGCGUUCCUGUCUCAGCUGCUCCAGCUUUAUAUCCUGAUAAUGAUGCUGUAUGGCAUGGAAUAUGAUUAACACUGUGUUCAGCACAAAUUCAGAACAAGGCUCCAUACUAGCUAAUUAGCUCUGCCCCAGCCAAAACCAGCCCACAGAAACACCAGUCCAGCAUUACUCUGAAGACACAAAAAGUAUGAAAGUAUGUAUACUCAUAGUUCAGUUAUUGCCUGUUAGGACACACAGUGAGAGAUGUAUCCUUUGCCUCCUUUCCAAAAUUAUAACAAAGAGCAGGAGGCUCCAUGAUAGCUCCAGAAGAAUAAGGGAAGGGCAUUCAACCAGGUAUAGAAAGAACAAUAUUGUAAGAAGAUUUUGGAGUCCAGUCUUAGUAGGCGCAGAAGUAGUAUUUACAUACAUUGGUGCCUUGCUCACCAGCAAACUCCACUAAAUGAUACUUGACAGUGGCUUUUGCUCCACUCCCUUUAUUGCUGUGAUGCUUGAGGUGAUGGAUGGAUCACUUUAACACUGCCUAACAGAAGUACUUUGUUAGGGAAGAUAAAGCCCACUAACAGUAUUAUUGAUAUGUCUAGAGGAACAGCUAGAAUUAGUUCAAACUGAUCAAUCCCAUUGCUCAGGGAUCCAAAAAGCUCAGUUUUUACCAGAAAGAGUAGAUAUAGGAGGUUCUUGAAAAGUUAUAUCAUCUGGACUAUUUCAGGUAUCACAAUACUCUUGCUGCUACUGUUUUUCCCUGCUUUGCUACAUUCACAAACUGCCCCCAUGUCCAGGUCCCCUUCUCCCAUGUGGUUUUGGUACCAAGAGCUCCUACAGUUAAUAAAGAGGAAAAAAGGUGGCUUAGAAAAUGCACUUUGACAUCUCAUGACAUCAAUACUACUUUUAGCCCCCUCAUGGUUUCUGAAGAAUACCCAGCCUGAUACAAUGAAGAGGCAAAUGUGUCAAAAUGUUACCUAAGUUACAAAUUACCCUAGAAUGGUACAGAUCCUUAACAUAUGAGAAAUGUAUUACCUGAAGAACAUAAUGGAAGUUUGCAGACAGUGUUCCAGGACAGGGGAGAGAGGAGAGAUGUUUGAACAUUUCUGCUUGCUCCAUUUUGGAGACAUUGCUGGAAGAGUAGGUUAGUCUGAACAUGGACAUAAGAAAAAAUAGGUGCACAAGUAGGAUUUGGAGCUGUGUAUCAUUGUAGUUUCUUUUUCUUCCUGUGCAUUUUCUAAUUUUUUUGAUAAACUAACAUGCACUCCUUUAACCCAUUAGCUCACAUGAAACAAGUUCAGUUAAAGCUGGUACAUUCAGGUUAUAUUUUCCCAAAGAUAAAUCCUCCAGGGAACUUGAAUGCUUUGGUGGCAAAGUUGGCAGUAGCUUUUGUCAAGCUCCAAUGGCAAUUAACGGAGUAGGAAGGUCAGGCAUAACACAGAGAAGCUCACCCAGUACUUACACCACCUCACAGCUCCAAGCAAUGUGCAGAAUCACACAGUGGUGUAGUCAAACUGGUUUUUAAUCUGUGCUUAUCAGUCAGCCCUGGCAGUCAGAAAGGCAACAAUAAGAUAUUUGGAAAAUGAUGUUGUGGUCUGUUUGCACUGAGCAAGGAGAGAAGGUGGCAGAGAAUAAAAAAGGGGCCAGCCAUUUGCACAUCCAGAAAGGGAUCUCAGAAGAGGAGCUGGAUUGCACAGGACAAGCAAGACCUGAAAGUGGAGAACGUUUUGCUUGGAGAAUCUCACCAAAUUGAGAUUUGCACUGGAUAGGAAGACACUCUCAGAUGCCAAGCACUAGCCAGAUUCAGAACUCUAUAAGCACUUAUUUGCAGUUUAUGUGAAUGAGAAUAAAGACUGAGGCAGAGCCUUGAGAGUCUGCAAUCUCUUGAUUGAUCUCUUCAGCUUGCCUAAGGCAUUAAUUACACUCAUCCCUUCAAUAAACAGUUUCUACACUAAAAUCUCCAACGAAGGACGGAAGUGGCCGUGCCAGCCACCGCCACAAAGCUGCUGAUUCACCUCAUCCACCAGCCCAGGAUCUCAGCUCAUCCCUGCUGUUCCAGCCGACAGUUCCUCAGAGCCCUGCAGGAGCACCGGGACUGACUGCCCGAGGGGUUUGUGAAAACAAAGCCUCUCCAUCCCUUCCCGUCUCAGCCGAGAAAGCUGUCACGGGGCCCCUGGUUCUGUUUUCUUGCUAAUGCUGUAGCUAUUGUUGUUUGCCUUGUUAUAA
Poecile atricapillus (Black-capped chickadee) is the source of this 2700-nucleotide long non-coding RNA. RefSeq lists it as uncharacterized. The transcript is spliced from 3 exons. The record is from RefSeq and is a predicted model, not a curated record. NCBI's taxonomy places the organism in Eukaryota, Metazoa, Chordata, Aves, Passeriformes, Paridae.